Molecule: small RNA, 668 nt
Filed under: Pan troglodytes (chimpanzee)
Lineage: Eukaryota; Metazoa; Chordata; Mammalia; Primates; Hominidae
Description: processed transcript
Source: RNAcentral
GGCAAGGGAGGAAAUGACGUGAUGUUAUUUUUGUGUCAGGUCAGUUUCCAGCUUCAGCUUAGCCCUCCGGGCUUCAGGGAACUAACCCCGCGGCCCCACCGGGUCCCACUCCCGAAGGGACGCUGCGGGCUACGGGGACACGCGGUGUUGCGAGUCUGGAGAGCUGGGCGGCUGGGUUCCCCCUCCCGCUGCCCCCUGGUCUACUCCUCUCCCCGGACUCCGGAGUCCCUGGAGAAGGGGACGCGGAGGGCGACUGCCGAGGGUCUCAGCGGGAUCCGGAGUCAGGGCAGAUGGGAUCAGAGCGGAUGGAGAUGCGGAAGCGGCAGAUGCCCGCCGCACAGGACACACCAGGCGCCGCCCCAGGCCAGCCCGGAGCGGGGAGUCGCGGGUCCAACGCAUGCUGCUUCUGCUGGUGCUGCUGUUGUAGCUGCUCGUGUCUCACUGUUAGAAACCAGGAAGAUCAGAGGCCCACAAUAGCUUCCCACGAACUCAGAGCAGAUCUUCCAACCUGGGAAGAAAGCCCUGCUCCUACUCUGGAAGAAGUCAACGCCUGGGCUCAGUCAUUUGACAAAUUAAUGGUCACUCCAGCAGGAAGGAAUGCAUUCCGUGAAUUCCUCCGAACAGAAUUCAGUGAAGAAAAUAUGCUCUUCUGGAUGGCCUGUGAGGAA